CUAAAAUGCUGUUCCUGUUGUCAGCCUUGAAGAGGGUAUGCAGCCGGAGCAGAAGGGAGACCUGGCAUUCCUGAUAUCAUAAGGGGUAAAAAAAAAAAAAAAAAAAAAAUGGGAAGGGAGAAGCCCUCCUGUUUGAGGCACGUCCUAAGUGAUCUUGCUGAAUCGCAAGGCUGCAAAAACAAAUGUCCCCCAUAGGAGAGGCUCAUCUCCCCCUUGCAGGCAUGUCCCAUAGUGUGUGGACUGGUUCCCUGCCUGGAUUUGAAGCCCCCUGGGCUGCAUUUCUUCAUGGUGGCAUCAAAGGGACAUUGACUUGAGCCAGAUACAGGAGGAAGGGGGAAAUAUCGCCCCGUGGCUGUUGGCAUGAGGAGGAGCUGUACUACCUGGCCGGGAUUAGGAUUUCACAGGAGGGUGAAGUAGAUGACAGGCCUCUGUGGCCAGAAGUCCUUGCCGGAGCUGGAGUGGUGAUGCUACAGGUGCUGCACAGACCUUUCUUUCCCCCAUCGUGGACAGCAGGCACUUACUUUUGGGAAGGAAAUUCCAGCCAGAGCUCUCUGUCUCUGUGCCCGUCUCUCCAGGGUUUGCAGUACAGCAAAAGAGACUAACCCUGCCACAAGGGCAGACCUGAAGAACUGCAGGGAAUUGGAGCAACCUCUGCAGGAAGACAAGCAGCGACACCUGCGCUGUGACAGCAGAUGGAAAUCCCCCCAAAACAGGCCCGUAGAACAUUUCUGCAAGGAACUGAACGUGAUGCAUUUCUCUCCA
RNAcentral lists this long non-coding RNA (762 nucleotides) under Crocodylus porosus (Australian saltwater crocodile). RNAcentral's name for it is "lncRNA (ENSCPRG00005004689.1)". Lineage: Eukaryota; Metazoa; Chordata; Crocodylia; Crocodylidae. The record is from RNAcentral.